CGCGCAUUGCGCAUGACAGGCGGUCUGACAGCAGCGACGCCGCGUGAGGGAUGACGGCCUUCGGGUUGUAAACCUCUUUCAGUAGGGACGAAGCGAAAGUGACGGUACCUGCAGAAGAAGGACCGGCCAACUACGUGCCAGCGCNCGCGGUAAUACAA
This 158-nucleotide ribosomal RNA is filed under the name uncultured Mycobacterium sp. Its description in RNAcentral is "partial 16S ribosomal RNA". It matches the Rfam family "Bacterial small subunit ribosomal RNA", at positions 358 to 528 of the family's 1533-position model. The record is from RNAcentral. Lineage: Bacteria; Bacillati; Actinomycetota; Actinomycetes; Mycobacteriales; Mycobacteriaceae.